GGCCCCAUCGUCUAGUCCGGCCUAGGACACCUGGUUCUCAGCCAGGAGACUGGGGUUCAAAUCCCCAUGGGGCUACCA
This 78-nucleotide transfer RNA is filed under the name candidate division TA06 bacterium DG_24. Its description in RNAcentral is "tRNA-Glu". It matches the Rfam family "tRNA". Rfam says of the family: Transfer RNA (tRNA) molecules are approximately 80 nucleotides in length. Their secondary structure includes four short double-helical elements and three loops (D, anti-codon, and T loops). The record is from RNAcentral.